RNAcentral lists this ribosomal RNA (497 nucleotides) under uncultured bacterium. RNAcentral describes it as "partial 16S ribosomal RNA". It matches the Rfam family "Bacterial small subunit ribosomal RNA", at positions 28 to 507 of the family's 1533-position model. The record is from RNAcentral.
GACGAACGCUGGCGGCGUGCCUAAUACAUGCAAGUAGAACGCUGAAGCGAGGAGCUUGCUCUUCUUGGAUGAGUUGCGAACGGGUGAGUAACGCGUAGGUAACCUGCCUUGUAGCGGGGGAUAACUAUUGGAAACGAUAGCUAAUACCGCAUAACAAUGGAUGACACAUGUCAUUUAUUUGAAAGGGGCAAUUGCUCCACUACAAGAUGGACCUGCGUUGUAUUAGCUAGUAGGUGAGGUAAUGGCUCACCUAGGCGACGAUACAUAGCCGACCUGAGAGGGUGAUCGGCCACACUGGGACUGAGACACGGCCCAGACUCCUACGGGAGGCAGCAGUAGGGAAUCUUCGGCAAUGGGGGCAACCCUGACCGAGCAACGCCGCGUGAGUGAAGAAGGUUCUCGGAUCGUAAAGCUCUGUUGUAAGUCAAGAACGGGUGUGAGAGUGGAAAGUUCACACUGUGACGGUAGCUUACCAGAAAGGGACGGCUAACUACGUG